AGCGCGUGCGGCCGCCGAGCACAUGGGCCCGCGGGCCGGGCGGGCUCGGGGCGGCCUGGACCCGGACGGGCGGCGAGGGGCCGCGCGCGGGGACGGGCCCCGGCACCCCCCGGGCCCCCCGAGCGGAUUUCCACGCCGAGAGGAUGUUGGCAGCGCCGGCGACCUGCCGAGACGCGGCGGGAUCCACCUUCCAGUUUUCCAAAGAGAGCCUGGCAACCCCCAGAGGCCCACUCCACCACCCUGAGUCCUGGCUCCCGGAGCUGUUUUGCUGCUGGAGCAAGCAAGCCCUGGAGAAACGUGGGUUUGUGUGUGUGCUGGGGGGGCGGGAGCCUUGAGGAUGUGGGGACUGUGUCUGCUCUGCUGUUAGUCAUAGGAUGUUGCAGACCUAUUUUGCAUACUGGCGUUGACAAGUUGAGGCUUGUUCACUUGACACAGUCCUGUGGUCACAGCCAAUCUUUCUAAAACCCUAA
RNAcentral lists this long non-coding RNA (470 nucleotides) under Felis catus (domestic cat). Its description in RNAcentral is "lncRNA (ENSFCAG00000048152.1)". The stretch from base 15 to 193 matches the Rfam family "Pvt1 oncogene conserved region 1". Lineage: Eukaryota; Metazoa; Chordata; Mammalia; Carnivora; Felidae. The record is from RNAcentral.